AGUGAACGCUGGCGGUAGGCCUAACACAUGCAAGUCGAACGGCAGCACAGUAAGAGCUUGCUCUUACGGGUUGCGAGUGGCGGACGUGUGAGGAAUACAUCGGAAUCUACUUUUUCGUGGGGGAUCACGUAGGGAAACUUACGCUCAUACCGCAUACGCCCUACGGUUGAGAGCGUGGGAUCUUCUGACCUUGCGCGAUUGAAUGAGCCGAUGUCGGAGUAGCUAGUUGGCGGGGUAAAGGCCCACCAAGGCGACGAUCCGUAGCUGGUCUGAGAGGAGGAUCAGCCACACUGGAACUGGAACACGGACCAGACGCCUACGGGAGGCAGCAGUGGGGAAUAUGGGACAAUGGGCGCAAGCCUGAUCCAGCCAGACCGCGUGGGUGAAGAAGGCCUUCGGGUUGUAAAGCCCUUUUGUUGGGAAAGAAAAGCAGCAGGUUAAGACCCCGCUGUUCUGACGGUACCCAAAGAAUAAGCACCGGCUAACUUCGUG
RNAcentral lists this ribosomal RNA (492 nucleotides) under uncultured bacterium. RNAcentral's name for it is "partial 16S ribosomal RNA". It matches the Rfam family "Bacterial small subunit ribosomal RNA", at positions 29 to 507 of the family's 1533-position model. The record is from RNAcentral.